Molecule: unclassified non-coding RNA, 3244 nt
Filed under: Hevea brasiliensis (rubber tree)
Lineage: Eukaryota; Viridiplantae; Streptophyta; Magnoliopsida; Malpighiales; Euphorbiaceae
Source: RNAcentral
AAAAAUCCUAAGGCCUGAAAGCACACAGUAGUAGACUGCAGAAAGUUAGAAACAGAGAAACGCCACAUUAUCAAAAGCCAAAAUGGCAUCAACGGCGACCCAUUUCUCCGCCGCCCUGUUCCUUCUCCCCAUUAGGAUGCGCCACCUCUUCUGUUCCUCAUCUCUCUACCUCAAGAACCCAUCUUUGUUCAGAUCAAAAACAUGAUAUCUCUCUGAUCCCAAAUGGAAGAAUCUUGAUUUAUAUAUCCUCAAUGUAGCUCUCCCAAUUGCUCUUUCUCUGAAAUUUUCCUUUUUUUAUCUUUUGCCGGUCACCCCGCUUACCGUUUCUCAUUCAUGCAUCAAUCCCUGGUUUUUUUUCUUUACUGGGUGUUGACCAUUUUAUUUCUUUUGCGAGAUAGCAUUGACCUAUUUACACUAAAUGAUAGCUUCUUGUUUGUAUUAACGGGGCUUGUGUUCUUCAUAGACUAUUCAGCUAUUGCGAACGGGAUUUCUGGUAUUGUUGGUGGAGUUGUGUACGAUUUGUGUGGUUAUUUGACCAUUCUUUGUGGUUGCUGCUGUUUUUAUUUGGCUGUUAGGCCUAGUGCCUUUUUCAUGGAGUUUUGCUUUUGUUGUGGGUUGGUCUUAAGGGGGACUUGGAUUUUGCAAGCUGGGUUGUGCUUGUAUAUUGACUUUUUUUCCUUUAAGGGGUGUCAUAAAAUAAUGGUUUCUCCAGAAUGUGAAAAUGCUGAGUUGAAGUGUGAUCUUGAAGAGGAUGGAUUGACGGGUGUGGCAUUGGUUGAUUUGUUAUUUAUUGGGCAUGCAAUUGGGGUCUUGCUUGUGAGCUUUGGGUUGUUUGGGUUAUUGUCAAGUCAUAGGAAUUCAAGUCAUGGCGAGGCAAGUGGUGCUUUGCUGGCAGAGCUCCAAUCAGAGAGUACUUUGAUACGCACACUUCCUGGAUUUGAGCUGGAAUUGAGUGACCUGCAAGUCACAACAAGAGAAUUAGUCUUGCUGUAUUGUUAGCUCAUGCUUCUGUUGAAGGACAGGACAAUAGGAUACCAAAAGAAACAAACCCCCCAUUGGUGCUCAAAUCGUCUAAAGGUUCGCCUCUCAGUUCUGGUGGAGGAAUGGGUAACCAGGUGCAAGGUGGUGCUUUGGACCAUUUUUCUGAACUUCCCACAUCCAUAAGUUCCUGAAAAAAGGCUGUUGCUAUGAUCACAUCUGAAGGUUCUUUAAAACGCAUUGGGAAUACUGCAGUGAUUUUUUGUUGCUGUCCAACAAAUCAAUUUACUUUAAUUUAGACAAUCUGUAUGAGGAUAAAAAUGUGCAUUGAUCUUUAUCCUUUAAAAUUUGUUAAGAGGCGUUGUUUCCAAUCCUGAAAGAUGAGUAGAGCAUAUUGCUGAUUUUAUCAAAAGUGAGUGAAGAGGGUUGUUUUUGGUAGCUUUUUGUCUAAAUAUAAUUUUUAGUGAAUCUCUCCUGAGUAUAUUUGAAUGCAGUUUUGGAGAUUUACAUAAGAGACAAUAAUGUAUGAAUCUAGCGGUCUAUUUUAAGUUGCUCAAAUAUUUGUAAUUGCUUGGAAAUCCAACAAAAUAGUAAAAAUUUAUCUAUGGGAAAGGCUUGAUGAACUUACCUCACAAGCAUCUGGCCAGAAUGAUCUAAUGGCAUUUUUUUUACAGUCUAAAUGGUUGGAAAAUUAUUUUUAUAUACUCUUGGAUUUAUACAAAUUUCUGAAAGUUUUUCUCAGCAUAGUAUGGUUUUAUCAUGCACGUGACAUGAAAAUAUAGUUGACUAACAUUUUUAAUUCUAAAAUUUUGUUUGGUCACAAUAUCUUUUGAAGCCUACACAUCCUCCUUUGGGUUCUUAUUGACACCUUACUAUGCUGAAGAAGUAGCAAUUCCUUGUAUAGAAAUUACCUGUUUGAUGACAUAAAAUGGUUCUCUUGGGUGGUAGACAAGUUUGAUUGGCUUAUGCAUCCCCUGAGACAUAUCCUGAGAAUUGACAUUCUCCAACAUUUCUUUCAGCUGGGAACUUAAAAUUACUGCUUGCACCGAAGAAAUUUGUGUAAUCACCUUUUUAGAGUCUUUUUCAUUUGGAAUCUUGGAAAAAUCAAGUUUUAGAGUGAGCUGGUAUCCUUCUCUUGGUGGUUCAACAAUUUCCACAGCAUCAGAGCAAGCUUCCUUUAUCAUCUGUUUAGUGUAUCGCGAGAACCCAUAUGAUUGGUGAACUCCUUGGAAAAGCAUUGGAGUUGAUAUCGACAGGUAGUUAUGAUUUGGAUCUGCUGCUGGAGACUGUUAAAAUUCCAUAAGAAAUAAAAAAAAUGAAAGCCUGCUUAUAUAUUGAUAGUCUCUCUCUCUGUGUGUCAAGAUGACAAGUAAUAUAAUGAUAAGGUUAGCUUCAAAUCUCUUUGCAUUUCAAUUAAAACAUUAGCCAAAGCUAUUGUAAUCAAGUAGAAGCUGGAUGUAUAGAAUAGACUCACCUGAAUGUGGUACUCUACAGACCCAAAUUCAUACAAGUGAUAAUCAAUCUCCACAUGCUUUUCAGCGCUAUCACAGAAAAAAGAAUAUUGAUUGGUAUUUACCUUUCUGCAUAAAUGCAUGCCUCUUGAACUACAAGCCUUUUACUUGCAGACAAGUGAAGAAAGAAACUAAAUUUUCAUUGCAGCAAGUCCUUUUUCUUUUCCUCCACCCGAAUGAAGCAUUAAAUAUUUACAUCCAUUAUCAAUUAGAUUAAGUUGUUAGCCUUUAUAGUUUACAUGAUGAAUAAAUAAACUAAUCUGACAUUUCCUAUAAAAAUAAACCAACAAGCACACACAUAGAUAUAUUAUCAUUAGAAAAUAACUAGUAAAAUAUUACCUUGACCCUUUUGACAGGGGAAUUGAGCUUAUCGAUAUAACUUGAGCAGAAUCUCCUUCAGUGCUGAUGAUGCCCUGUCAAAGCAAGCCAUGCUAAGCUCUCUUCUCAUGUUCUAACCUCACAUGACGGUGGUGGAGGUAAACUUAGUUGUGCAAACUCUGAGCUGACAAUGAAUUUGUCCACGUGAACAUUGAGUAUAGAUUAAGUUCUGAGGGUUGCAAUUAUGCUUAGCUACCUUCUAAGCAAGUAUCUAACUAAUAUCAUUCCACAUCUCUCAUAUAUCACUAACUUUUGUUCGUAAAGGAUGCCUGUUCUGUCCAUUUGUUUUGUUGCUAGAUUCUGUUGAUGUAUAUUGUUGUCUUCUGGGGACAAAUCUUGCCAUAUUUUCUUGCAAUUUAUGUUGAUUUGGAUUCUUG